This 245-nucleotide ribosomal RNA is filed under the name uncultured Lactobacillus sp. RNAcentral's name for it is "partial 16S ribosomal RNA". It matches the Rfam family "Bacterial small subunit ribosomal RNA", at positions 116 to 354 of the family's 1533-position model. The record is from RNAcentral. Lineage: Bacteria; Bacillati; Bacillota; Bacilli; Lactobacillales; Lactobacillaceae.
CGUGGGUAACCUGCCCAAGAGAUCGGGAUAACACCUGGAAACAGAUGCUAAUACCGGAUAACAACAGAUGAUGCCUAUCAACUGUUUAAAAGAUGGUUCUGCUAUCACUCUUGGAUGGACCUGCGGUGCAUUAGCUAGUUGGUAGGGUAACGGCCUACCAAGGCGAUGAUGCAUAGCCGAGUUGAGAGACUGAUCGGCCACAUUGGGACUGAGACACGGCCCAAACUCCUACGGGAGCAGCAGGG